CCGGCACGGGUGAGUAACACGUAUCCAACCUGCCGUCUACUCUUGGCCAGCCUUCUGAAAGGAAGAUUAAUCCAGGAUGGCAUCAUGAGUUCACAUGUCCGCAUGAUUAAAGGUAUUUUCCGGUAGACGAUGGGGAUGCGUUCCAUUAGAUAGUAGGCGGGGUAACGGCCCACCUAGUCGACGAUGGAUAGGGGUUCUGAGAGGAAGGCCCCCCACAUUGGAACUGAGACACGGUCCAA
Molecule: ribosomal RNA, 239 nt
Filed under: uncultured bacterium
Lineage: Bacteria
Description: partial 16S ribosomal RNA
Rfam family: Bacterial small subunit ribosomal RNA
Source: RNAcentral